CAGGUAAUUCAGCAGGCGCUGCACCGGCCCCCCAGCUCGGCUGCUCAGUACCUGCAGCAGAUGUAUGCAGCCCAGCAGCAACACCUGAUGCUGCACACUGCAGCCCUCCAGCAGCAGCAUCUCAGCAGCUCUCAGCUCCAGAGCCUGGCUGCCGUUCAGGCAAGUCUGUCAAGUGGAAGACCAUCUACAUCCCCCACAGGAAGUGUCACGCAGCAGUCGAGUAUGUCCCAGACAUCUAGAAACCCUGGAGAUGGAAUUUGGGGAGAUCACAGCAAAACAGCCUCACGACAGCAGCUGAGAUGAGGUCUCUUCUCCAGGGACCAGGGCCCCGUGGAAAGCUGAUGGCUGCUGUUUCAAUCCAACCUAACAGUGUUAGUUGAGCAGCUACUUUCAAUUUUACUACGUUCUUACUGGGUUUGGAUGACAAAAUUUUAAGGUUUUUGCAGAUUGCUUUCAAAGGCCUUGCAUUUUGGAUGUAGUGUUUCCGAGUGAAUCAUAUUGCCAGUGCAUUCCUCUGUCUCCACAAACUUGUUACAUUAAAAUGCAAGGAAAUCC
Long non-coding RNA from Carlito syrichta (Philippine tarsier), 555 nucleotides. RefSeq lists it as uncharacterized. The record is from RefSeq and is a predicted model, not a curated record. The transcript has 4 exons. NCBI's taxonomy places the organism in Eukaryota, Metazoa, Chordata, Mammalia, Primates, Tarsiidae.